Non-coding RNA from Hydra vulgaris (swiftwater hydra), 1265 nucleotides. NCBI's taxonomy places the organism in Eukaryota, Metazoa, Cnidaria, Hydrozoa, Anthoathecata, Hydridae. The record is from RefSeq and is a predicted model, not a curated record.
CAGGACCGGCAUGCUAUUUUGUGUUGGCCUUCCACCCUCAGCUGAAGAGCAAUAAAACACCUCGUUGCCAAUGCGAUUUUAAAUUGGCAUGCCAGCUUUAGUAAGUUUAUGACAAUACGCUGUACACAAUGCCCGAGUUGGCUCCUAGAUAACGGUACGAUGUCGUAAAAACACCAAAAGUAAGCAUUUCAAGCGCCAUGAGACUUAGAUUGAUCGAUUUUUAUAUUUUAUAUUGUAGUACAUAGUCUAUGUAAAACAUUAAGUUUGCUAUAACCGAUGAAGCAUUAGCAUCUUUGUUAAAAUUUUUGGGUAAAUUGUUUCCUGAUUUGCCAAAGAAGCCACGCACUCUACGUCAGAGGCUUUUGUACCUGUUACCAAUAACUGGAGGACAGUAUUGUCAUUUUGGCAUUAGACAAGGAUUGUAGAUGAGAAUUUAAAUCGUGAUAUUGAAUCUUACCAGAGAAUAAAGAAACCGUUUACCUCAACCAGAGUUAUAUUUCAUAGAAUUAUGUUGACCAUGAUCCAAAUAUUGCCAUGGGUAUAAGAUAGUUGUUUGAUUUGCAAACUGGAUUUAAAUCAUAUUUUCUUUAAACAUAUUUAUUUGCUCUCUAUAUGCUUACAAAUAAUUUAUUUAAAAAAAUUAUAUACUUAUUUACUAAACCGUUUUAUUUCAAUCAAUUAUUUGACUUUUUAUAUUUUUCAAGGAAUUUUUAUAGUAUAUUAAAUUGCGUUAUGUUUUUUUUUUUUUGUUUUUGUAUGGUGAAAACUAUGUUCAAUGUGCAAACUAUAUUUUAGUUUAUCAAAAUAGAUUUUUAUUGAUGUGUUCUGUCUCUGAUUCUUCCUUUUUCAGAUGUGCACUUGUGUCUAAGGCUUAUGCUUUGCAUAAGGUUCACCAUUGUACUUAAGUUGCUGUGGGUUUACCUGGCAUAUAAAUGCACUUAGUAUCUGAAGUUAUUUGUCAAUAACUGGUGAUCAGACUAUUUCAAACGGAUACGUUUUUAAAGGCUGAGAAGGUGAAAGUUAGAAGUCUGCAGACUGCAACGUAAAUCAAUUUUCAACACAUGAUUUCCUGAAUAAAUUUAGUUUUCGAUUGAAAUGAGAAUAAACUGAACUUAUAGAUGUGUUGAAAAUUAACUAUUUUAUAUUUUAAACGUUCGCUAAACGCAAGUGAAGCAAUAGUCUAUAGAUGCAAAUAUACUUUAUAUUUUGCUUUAGUUUAAAAAAAAUUAUUGUUACUUUUAUAUUCAUGUUGUAAUUGUAAAUUG